Molecule: long non-coding RNA, 219 nt
Filed under: Elaeis guineensis (African oil palm)
Lineage: Eukaryota; Viridiplantae; Streptophyta; Magnoliopsida; Arecales; Arecaceae
Description: long non-coding RNA (EGUI_LNC038574)
Source: RNAcentral
CCAUCGUCAGUCAUAUGCAAGAUUGGCUUGACUCGAGUUCAUUUGUGAAUCCUAUGGAAACUCUUUUUCAGUAUUCACACUUGUUUUUACCAAAAGACUUUCUAAACUCAGUCUCACAAAUUACAUAAGACUUCUUCUUUUCUACCAAGGUUGAUAGAUUCUAUCUAGGUGCAUCCUACUCCAAACAACGAACCUAAACCUACUGAAGCCAACAUACAC